AGCCGAAUUAAGGUGAACCGCGAAAGGCUCAUUAAAUCAGUUAUGGUUCCUUAGAUCGUACCCACAUUUACUUGGAUAACUGUGGUAAUUCUAGAGCUAAUACAUGCAAACAGAGUUCCGACCGGAGACGGAAGGAGCGCUUUUAUUAGAUCAAAACCAAUCGGCGUCGGGUUCGCGCCCGUCGUCGUACCCACUGGUGAAUCUGAAUAACUUUCUGCUGAUCGCAUGGUCUAGCACCGGCGACGCAUCUUUCAAAUGUCUGCCUUAUCAACUGUCGAUGGUAGGUUCUGCGCCUACCAUGGUUGUAACGGGUAACGGGGAAUCAGGGUUCGAUUCCGGAGAGGGAGCCUGAGAAACGGCUACCACAUCCAAGGAAGGCAGCAGGCGCGCAAAUUACCCACUCCCGGCACGGGGAGGUAGUGACGAAAAAUAACGAUACGGGACUCAUCCGAGGCCCCGUAAUCGGAAUGAGUACAAUCUAAACCCUUUAACGAGGAUCAAUUGGAGGGCAAGUCUGGUGCCAGCAGCCGCGGUAAUUCCAGCUCCAAUAGCGUAUAUUAAAGUUGUUGCGGUUAAAAAGCUCGUAGUCGAAUUUGUGUCCCGCGCCGCCGGUUCAUCGCACGCGGUGUUUAACUGGCGUGUCCGCGGGACGUCCUGCCGGUGGGCUUACUCGCAAGGGUGGUGGCCCAACGCAAUCCCACCGCGGUGCUCUUGAUUGAGUGUCGAGGUGGGCCGGCACGUUUACUUUGAACAAAUUAGAGUGCUUAAAGCAGGCUAAAAUUUCGCCUGAAUACCGUGUGCAUGGAAUAAUGGAAUAGGACCUCGGUUCUAUUUUGUUGGUUUUCGGAACCCCGAGGUAAUGAUUAAUAGGAACGGAUGGGGGCAUUCGUAUUGCGACGUUAGAGGUGAAAUUCUUGGAUCGUCGCAAGACGAACAGAAGCGAAAGCAUUUGCCAAAAACGUUUUCAUUGAUCAAGAACGAAAGUUAGAGU
This 991-nucleotide ribosomal RNA is filed under the name Hesperorhipis mirabilis. RNAcentral describes it as "SSU rRNA". It matches the Rfam family "Eukaryotic small subunit ribosomal RNA", at positions 67 to 996 of the family's 1831-position model. The record is from RNAcentral. Lineage: Eukaryota; Metazoa; Arthropoda; Insecta; Coleoptera; Buprestidae.